AAGACCUUGCGCUUUUGGAGCGGCCGAUGCCUGAUUAGCUUGUUGGUAAGGUAAAAGCUUACCAAGGCUUCGAUCAGUAGCUGGUCUGAGAGGAUGGCCAGCCACACUGGGACUGAGACACGGCCCAGACUCCUACGGGAGGCAGCAGUGGGGAAUUUUGGACAAUGGGCGCAAGCCUGAUCCAGCCAUGCCGCGUGAGUGAAGAAGGCCUUCGGGUUGUAAAGCUCUUUCAGCCGAGAAGAAAAGAUUGCGACUAAUAAUCGCAAUUCAUGACGGUACCGGCAGAAGAAGCACCGGCUAACUACGUGCCAGCAGCCGCGGUAAUACGUAGGGUGCGAGCGUUAAUCGGAAUUACUGGGCGUAAAGGGUGCGCAGGCGGUUUUGUAAGUCAGAUGUGAAAUCCCCGGGCUUAACCUGGGAACU
This 423-nucleotide ribosomal RNA is filed under the name uncultured bacterium. RNAcentral describes it as "bacterial SSU rRNA". It matches the Rfam family "Bacterial small subunit ribosomal RNA", at positions 207 to 622 of the family's 1533-position model. The record is from RNAcentral.